Molecule: ribosomal RNA, 1660 nt
Filed under: wastewater metagenome
Description: bacterial LSU rRNA
Rfam family: Bacterial large subunit ribosomal RNA
Source: RNAcentral
CGCCGAUAAUGAUCGGGAAUAAGCGUGGAGCCGAAGCUGUGGGCCCAGCAGCAAUGCUGGGCGGUAGGAGAGCGUAGUUGAUGCUGUGAAGCGGCUCGGGAACGGGUCGUGGAGCGUCCACUAGUGCAUAUGCCGGCUUAAGUAACGAUUAACACGGUGAAAAUCCGUGUCGCCGAAUGCCUAAGGUUUCCUGGGGAAGGUAAAUCCGCCCAGGGUUAGCCGGGUCCUAAGGUGAGGCCGAAAGGCGUAGCCGAUGGAAAUCAGGUCAAUAUUCCUGAGCCAAUGCCCAAUAUGGUGACGGAUCUCCAAGAUCUGCGGGACUGCUAGAUGUCCAGGCCCUCGAGGCCGAUGCAGGUGGAGGAGGUCACGAGAAAAACCGGGCGUGCCCGUACUAAAACUGACACAGGUAGGCGAGGCGAAUAGCCUCAGGCGCUCGAGAGAACGGUCGUGAAGGAACUAGGCAAUUUAACCCCGUACGUUCGCAAGAAGGGGGCCCUCGUCGUCAGACAGGGCGCAGAGAAAAGGGUCUGGGAACUGUUUAUCAAAAACACAGCUCUGUGCUAACUCGGAAGAGGAUGUAUACAGAGUGACGCUUGCUCAAUGCCGGAAUGUCACGGAAGCGGGUCAUCGCAAGAGAAGCCCGCGACUCAAGCACCGGUGAAUAGCGGCCGUAACUAUGACGGUCCUAAGGUAGCGAAGUUCCUUGUCGGGUAAGUUCCGACGCGCAUGAAUAGCGUAAUCACUGGACUCCUGUCUCCACGACCGACUCGGUGAAAUAGUAGUGGCGGUGAAGAUGCCGUCUACCCGCAGCAAGACGGAAAGACCCCGUGGACCUUCACUAUAGGCAUGCGCUGGUCACGAGCACGAACUGCGUAGCAUAGGUGGGAGGCUUUGAAGUUCCCGUUUCGGCGGGAAUGGAGCCAACAAGUGAAAUACCACCCUGUUUAUGUUUGUGGCCUAACUUCGAUUCCCGUGAAUCCGGGCGAAGAACACCGUGUGUUGGGUAGUUUGACUGGGGCGGUCUCCUCCCAAAGAGUAACGGAGGAGUGCAAAGGUCGGCUCAGCACGGAUGGAAACCGUGCCCUGCGUGCAAGAGCACAAGCCGGCUUUACUGCGAGACCGACGGGUCGAGCAGUUACGAAAGUAGGCUCUAGUGAUCCUGCGAUCCCGUGUGGAAGGGUCGUAGCUCAACGGAUAAAAGGUACCCCGGGGAUAACAGGCUGAUCGCUCCCGAGCGUCCAUAGCGGCGGAGCGGUUUGGCACCUCGAUGUCGGCCCAUCACAUCCUGGGACUGAAGGCGGCCCCAAGGGUUCGGCUGUUCGCCGAUUAAAGUGGUACGCGAGCUGGGUUCAGACCGGCGUGAGCCAGGUCGGUCCCUAUCUGCUGUGGGCGUCGCAAGUUUGAGAGGAGUCAACCUUAGUACGAGAGGAUUGGGUUGGACGUACCCCUGGUGAUCCAGUUGGUCUGCUAAGGCCACAGCUGGGUAGCUACGUACGGCAGGGAUAAACGCUGAAAGCAUCUAAGCGUGAAGCCCCCCUCAAGAUGAGACAUGGUUGUCGUAAGACGAAAGACCCCUGGAAGACCACCAGGUUGAUAGGCCGCAGGUGUACGGGCUGAAAGGCCCUCAGCUGAGCGGUACUAACGGUCGAACGUUUGAUCA